RNAcentral lists this signal recognition particle RNA (217 nucleotides) under Chlorocebus sabaeus (green monkey). Its description in RNAcentral is "Metazoan signal recognition particle RNA". It matches the Rfam family "Metazoan signal recognition particle RNA". Rfam says of the family: The signal recognition particle (SRP) is a universally conserved ribonucleoprotein. It is involved in the co-translational targeting of proteins to membranes. The eukaryotic SRP consists of a 300-nucleotide 7S RNA and six proteins: SRPs 72, 68, 54, 19, 14, and 9. The record is from Rfam by way of RNAcentral. Lineage: Eukaryota; Metazoa; Chordata; Mammalia; Primates; Cercopithecidae.
GCCAGGCGCGGUGGCUCACGCCUGUAAUCCCAGCACUUUGGGAGGCCGAGAUGGGCGGAUCACGAGGUCAGGAGAUCAAGACCAUCCUGGCUAACAAGGUGAAACCCCGUCUCUACUAAAAAUACANNNNNNNNNNUGUAUUUUUAGUAGAGACGGGGUUUCACCGUGUUAGCCAGGAUGGUCUCGAUCUCCUGACCUUGUGAUCCGCCCGUCUCGG